UACGGAGGGUGCAAGCGUUAUCCGGAUUCACUGGGUUUAAAGGGUGCGUAGGCGGGUAAGUAAGUCCGUGGUGAAAAUCUCUGAGCUUAACUCAGAAAACUGCCGUGGAUACUAUUUUGCCUUUGAAAUAUUUGUGGGAGGUGAGCGGGAAAUAUGUCAUGUAGCGGGUGAAAAUGCUUUAGAUAUGACAUAGAAACACCCAAAUUUGCGAAAGGGCAGCUCACUACACAAAUCAUUUUGACGCUGAGGCACGAAAGCGUGGGGAUCAAAACAGGA
This 276-nucleotide ribosomal RNA is filed under the name uncultured bacterium. Its description in RNAcentral is "partial 16S ribosomal RNA". It matches the Rfam family "Bacterial small subunit ribosomal RNA", at positions 524 to 777 of the family's 1533-position model. The record is from RNAcentral.